ACGGGUGAGUAAUGCGUAGGAAUCUGCCUAGUGGAGUGGGAUAACCUAGGGAAACUUAGGGUAAUACCGCAUAAGCCCUAUGGGGUAAAGCAGGGGACCGAAAGGCCUUGCGCUAUUAGAUGAGCCUACGUCGGAUUAGCUAGUUGGUGGGGUAAAGGCCUACCAAGGCGAUGAUCCGUAGCUGGUCUGAGAGGACGACCAGCCACACUGGGACUGAGACACGGCCCAGACUCCUACGGGAGGCAGCAGUGGGGAAUAUUGGACAAUGGGCGGAAGCCUGAUCCAGCGAUGCCGCGUGUGUGAAGAAGGCCUGCGGGUUGUAAAGCACUUUCGGUGGGGAGGAGAGGAUAUGGGAUAAUACCUUGUAUCUGAGACGUUACCCACAGAAGAAGCGCCGGCUAACUCUGUGCCAGCAGCCGCGGUAAUACAGAGGGUGCGAGCGUUAAUCGGAAUGACUGGGCGUAAAGGGUGCGUAGGUGGUUUGAUAAGUUAGGUGUGAAAGUCCUGGGCUUAACCUGGGGAUUGCGCUUAAGACUGUUGAGCUAGAGUACUGUAGAGGAAGGUGGAAUUUCC
This 573-nucleotide ribosomal RNA is filed under the name uncultured bacterium. RNAcentral's name for it is "bacterial SSU rRNA". It matches the Rfam family "Bacterial small subunit ribosomal RNA", at positions 102 to 671 of the family's 1533-position model. The record is from RNAcentral.